CCUACGGGGGACAGCAGUAGGGAAUAUUGCUCAAUGGGGGAAACCCUGAAGCAGCAACGCCGCGUGGAGGAUGAAGGUUUUCGGAUUGUAAACUCCUUUUGUUAGAGAAGAUAAUGACGGUAUCUAACGAAUAAGCACCGGCUAACUCCGUGCCAGCAGCCGCGGUAAUACGGAGGGUGCAAGCGUUACUCGGAAUCACUGGGCGGAAAGAGCGCGUAGGCGGGAUAGCAAGUCAGAUGUGAAAUCCUAUGGCUUAACCAUAGAACUGCAUUUGAAACUGUUAUUCUAGAGUAUGGGAGAGGUAGGUGGAAUUCUUGGUGUAGGGGUAAAAUCCGUAGAGAUCAAGAGGAAUACUCAUUGCGAAGGCGACCUGCUAGAACAUAACUGACGCUGAUGCGCGAAAGCGUGGGGAGCAAACAGGAUUAGAUACCCCGGUAGUC
RNAcentral lists this ribosomal RNA (440 nucleotides) under uncultured bacterium. RNAcentral's name for it is "partial 16S ribosomal RNA". It matches the Rfam family "Bacterial small subunit ribosomal RNA", at positions 338 to 795 of the family's 1533-position model. The record is from RNAcentral.